GAUUCAAAAGUUAUAGCAUCCCCUUGCUCAGUGAAACGCUCCUUAUUCUGUAGGUUGUCAAGAUAAUCCAGUGUCUCUAAGCCUUCAACGCGAACUUCACUGAUGUCUGAAACAGAGAAAUAAGUGUGAUAUGCAAAUGUGAAUGAAAAUGGCUCGCACUGGUAUUCCUGAUGCGAGAUGUCAGCAUCAAAUCUCCACCAGGUCCCAAAGCUACCCUCAAACGGAAUUCAAAACUGUGAGGCCAGAUCUUCAUAUC
This 256-nucleotide unclassified non-coding RNA is filed under the name Hevea brasiliensis (rubber tree). The record is from RNAcentral. Lineage: Eukaryota; Viridiplantae; Streptophyta; Magnoliopsida; Malpighiales; Euphorbiaceae.